Molecule: unclassified non-coding RNA, 394 nt
Filed under: soil metagenome
Description: partial contains 5.8S ribosomal RNA, internal transcribed spacer 2, and large subunit ribosomal RNA
Rfam family: 5.8S ribosomal RNA (bases 1-120)
Source: RNAcentral
GAUGAAGAACGCAGCGAAAUGCGAUAAGUAGUGUGAAUUGCAGAAUUCAGUGAAUCAUCGAAUCUUUGAACGCAUCUUGCGCUCCUUGGUAUUCCGAGGAGCAUGCCUGUUUGAGUGUCAUUCAACUUGUCAACCACUUUGGAAGUUGUUUUUCAAUGUGGCUUGGAUGUGGGGGAUUUGCAGGCUUUUCUUCUGUCUGCUCUCCUGAAAUGCAUUAGUGGUGUCUUAAAGGGUUCACAACCACAGGUGUGAUAAAUUAUCUAUGCCUUUGGUAUGAACAGAACUGUGCUGCUUCUAAAUGAAAUGAGCCCUUGCAGGCUCUUUCUUUUGAUGAAUUUGACCUCAAAUCAGGUAGGACUACCCGCUGAACUUAAGCAUAUCAAUAAGCGGAGGA